GACGAACGCUGGCGGCGUGCUUAACACAUGCAAGUCGAACGGAAAGGCCCUGCUUGCAGGGUACUCGAGUGGCGAACGGGUGAGUAACACGUGGGUGAUCUGCCCUGCACUUCGGGAUAAGCCUGGGAAACUGGGUCUAAUACCGGAUAGGAGCCAUCUUUAGUGUGAUGGUUGGAAAGUUUUUUCGGUGUAGGGUGAGCUCGCGGCCUAUCAGCUUGCUGGUGGGGUAAUGGCCUACCAAGGCGGCGACGGGUAGCCGGCCUGAGAGGGUGGACGGCCACCUUGGGACUGAGGUGAGGCCCAGACUCCUACGGGAGGCAGCAGUGGGGAAGAUUGCACCAUGGGCGCAAGGCUGAUGCAGCGACGCCGCGUGGGGGAUGGCGGCCUUCGGGUUGUAAAAUCCUUUCGCUAGGGACGAAGCUUUUUGUGACGGUACCUAGAUAAGAAGCACCGGCUAACUACGUG
RNAcentral lists this ribosomal RNA (465 nucleotides) under uncultured bacterium. RNAcentral describes it as "partial 16S ribosomal RNA". It matches the Rfam family "Bacterial small subunit ribosomal RNA", at positions 28 to 507 of the family's 1533-position model. The record is from RNAcentral.